RNAcentral lists this ribosomal RNA (497 nucleotides) under uncultured bacterium. RNAcentral's name for it is "partial 16S ribosomal RNA". It matches the Rfam family "Bacterial small subunit ribosomal RNA", at positions 28 to 507 of the family's 1533-position model. The record is from RNAcentral.
GACGAACGCUGGCGGCGUGCCUAAUACAUGCAAGUAGAACGCUGAAGAGAGGAGCUUACUCUUCUUGGAUGAGUUGCGAACGGGUGAGUAACGCGUAGGUAACCUGCCUUGUAGCGGGGGAUAACUAUUGGAAACGAUAGCUAAUACCGCAUAACAAUGGAUGACACAUGUCAUUUAUUUGAAAGGGGCAAUUGCUCCACUACAAGAUGGACCUGCGUUGUAUUGGCUAGUAGGUGAGGUAAUGGCUCACCUAGGCGACGAUACAUAGCCGACCUGAGAGGGUGAUCGGCCACACUGGGACUGAGACACGGCCCAGACUCCUACGGGAGGCAGCAGUAGGGAAUCUUCGGCAAUGGGGGCAACCCUGACCGAGCAACGCCGCGUGAGUGAAGAAGGUUUUCGGAUCGUAAAGCUCUGUUGUAAGUCAAGAACGGGUGUGAGAGUGGAAAGUUCACACUGUGACGGUAGCUUACCAGAAAGGGACGGCUAACUACGUG